This 4768-nucleotide long non-coding RNA is filed under the name Mus musculus (house mouse). Its description in RNAcentral is "long non-coding RNA chr18:50038324-50043092". The record is from RNAcentral. Lineage: Eukaryota; Metazoa; Chordata; Mammalia; Rodentia; Muridae.
UCUGCUUGCUACCCAGGUGCCCCUAGCCCUCACCUCUGCAGAAAAUGAAAAAAAAAAAAAAAUCCAAUAGUGAAUUGCUAUCAGAUGUUAGUAAUUCCCAGGACCUUUCUCCAAGGAAUGCUUGUAUUUUUUCAAAAGAGCCUCACAGUAGAACAGGAAGUGGGGCAAGAGUUUCAUACUGAGUACCGCCUCUCUAAUGAGAGUAUUUCCUGUUUCGCCCAAAGGCCAGCUGGGGCCUUGGGAGCCUCAGGCUCCCUUGGGUCAGGCCUGCUGGACCAGCCCCAACCCAGGGAAGUUGAAGGAGUUUUGAGUUUGUCCUUUUUUAAAAUACGGUAUUCCAGCUGCUGCCAGAGUCCAUGUAGAUUCUUGCAAAUGUGUUUUUGUAAGAGAUCCAGGGCACCCACUCACCUCCUGUGUCUGGCAUUGAUACAGCUGUGGAAAUACAAAUAUUUCCCUUUCAAAGGCACUCACCCCUGGACUAAGAUUGUCAGAUUUUUUUUUUUUUUUUUAACAAUGGCCCCUUAUAACGUUCACUUUUUAGGGAAACUUUGUAAAUGAAUGGUCUUCCGUGUUUUCUCCAUUAGCUUAAAGCUGGUUUGUUCUGCAGACCCUUUGGUUUCUAAGGAUUUGUCAAGGGACAAAAUCCUUUUGACUUCCCAGUGGCUUCCUCCCCAGCGCAGCCUUCCCUCCCCACUGAUCACUCUUGAGUGUGUGGGUUUUUGCAUGUGUUGCUAAUACCACCCAGGUCCUUCCCCCUCCAUCCCACCUCCUUUGCUUCCAGCAUGUCUUGUGACCAGGCUUCCAUGAUGACUCUGUCCCCGGGUGUGACUUAGGUGCUUCUCUGAACUUCCAUGGCACCUCCCAUGCCUUUUUGCUCCUGUGGAUGUCAUACUGUAUGACAGUCCCUCUCCAGCCCCACCCUCCCUGCAACCACUAACUGGCUCUUCAAAGAUAAACACUAUAGCUGUUGUCAUCGGUACCAUUUUCCUGUAAGAGACGGGGGCUCCACAGAUACUUGCAGAAUGGAGAAAGAGGUCAAUAGAAGUGGUCCCUGGAAUGACACAACGUUCUUUAGAGUGGACAGUGAGCCCUGGUUUCCUUAACAACGUUUAGUCUCCCUAGGUUCCUGUGAUAUACAACUGAAGUUGUAGAGGCACCUGACCCUGAUGGAAAAGAUAGUUGUCAGGACAUCCUGGCCACUGGCACUCACCACCCAAUCAAGAGCAAGUAGGUCAAUGUUGCUAGUAUGAAAUCAAACUAUUGACAAUAGCUGGAUACACUCUGAGGUUCAGACCAGAAGGAAAAUGGAGACUACAUCAUUUGAGAGGCCAAGAAAGGUACUGGUGAUUGCUCCAUGUUUGGAGGAAGAACAUGAAUAUCUGAGUAGCAAUUGGAUUGAAGCAUAGUUAGGACUCUCACAAGAUCAUGUAGCCAGUGAUGAAUUUUCUGGACUGUUUAAGGAUGGUUAAAGGUAAAAUUUUUUUUAUUAUGUAUUUUCCUCAAUUACAUUUCCAAUGCUAGCCCAAAAGUCCCCCAUGCCCUCCCCCACACUCUCCUACCCACCCAUUCCCACUUUUUGGCCCUGGCAUUCCCCUGUACUGGGGCAUAUAAAGUUUGCGUGUCCAAUGGGCCUCUCUUUCCAGUGAUGGCCGACUAGGCCAUCUUUUGAUACAUAUGCAGCUAGAGUCAAGAGCUCCGGGGUACUGGUUAGUUCAUAAUGUUGUUGCACCUGCAGGGUUGCAGAUCUCUUUAGCUCCUUGAAUACUUUCUCUAGCUCCUCCAUUGGGGGCCCUGUGAUCCAUCCAAUAGCUGACUGUGAGCAUCCACUAAUGUGUUUGCUAGGCCCUGGCCUAGUCUCACAAGAGACAGCUAUAUCAGGGUCCUUUCAGCAAACACUUGCUAGUGUAUGCAAUGGUGUCAUCGUUUGGAGGCUAAUUAUGGGAUGGAUCCCUGGAUAUGGCAGUCUCUAGAUGGUUCAAGGUAAAUUUUAACUGUAUAACUCUACCUUAUGGAUCUGAGAGCUCAGUGCCUCUCAUCACCCCUCUAAAACACAAUGACCCUAUACCAUGUGUUGGUACAUGCUAUCUAAAAGAACAUUUAGAAGCAAAGGGAAAUCCUGAUCAGCCCAUUGGAUUCUGAUCAUUUUGUCUCUUGACAUUGGGCCAGAAUGAUUGCCUGUGUGUAAAAACAAUGGGAAAGGUCACCUUUACUAGUUUUGGGGGAUAGAUGUUGGGCUUUAUCUAUGUUGUAUAAGUGUAUGAUUAACUAUAGUCCACUUCAUCACAAAAGUGUGUUCUGGGAUCUGGACAGAUGGCUCAACAGUUAAGAGCACUGGCUGUUCUUCCGAAGGAACCUGGAUGUGAUUCCCAGCACCUCGAGGUGGCUCACAACUAGCUGUAACUCUAGUUCCAGGGGAUCUAACAGUGUCUUCUGGGCCUCUUCAGGGCACUGCAUACACAUGGCGCAUAGUCACCCAUGAAGGCAAAACACCCAUUCACAUAAAAUAAAAUAAUAACUUUUGAAAAUAUGCCCUGCAGAUUUUGGUAAAGAGUGGAUAGUCUACGUGAUUUCACAAGACUGAGAGCUACCCAGGAGCUGUGCUUAUAUGGGCAGUCAGUUGGAGAAGAGGCUGAAGACCCUCCCACAUGGCUUUCUCGCACCCUUAGAUGUGUGAAGUGGCACCCGCUUCCUUUGGUCACACCUGUUCCUCCAGUGGGCUUCCUCUUUUCUAUUAAUGUCUGGACCUCUUUCCCCUAGUCAGCCAGCCUCAAAGCCUCCAUGUGGUAUCCACUCUCAAUGUUUCUUACCAGUCUGUAUCCUUCUUCCAAAUUGCAUGACAGGUUAACCUUGCAAACAGAGACACCAUGGGUAUAGAUAAAAGACUUGGGCUAAAGUCUGAAGACUCCUAUUGUAGUAUCAGCCGGAGCUGGUGGCUGUGGGCCAGCCACUUAAUGCCUCUGAGGAUCUGUAAACUCAUGAGAAGUGAGUGUUGAAAGCAACACUCAAGACUUCUUAUUUAAGGAUUGUUGUGAGAGGGGAUCAGUGUCGAAGUACUCCACAGCGUGGAGCGCGCCAUCUUGCUCAGAGACAUGUCCUAUGAUGUUGCUUGUGUGACACGGAACCUGGAAUACAUUACAGUAGGUGAUAUGUGUCAAUUGCUGAAAUAGGGCGUGAUUUAACAUCUCUGUACAUAAAUUCAGUUGCUGAGUCAGAAUUUGGGACUAUGAUCAAGAGAAAUGUUUUUUUCUUGUUCUGGGCCAGAUAACAAAAUACUUGAGACAAAUGGUGUUCCGUUUUAAAAGAAUUUUCUCUUCUUCAUAUUUAAUUAAAAUGUUAUUUGGGCAUACUUACAGUGUGGUGAUUUCACGUUCAUAUACUUAUAAAAUGUCUAAAGAUAAAAUCAAGGUAACUGUUAUUUCCAACCCCUGAAACAGUUAUCAUUUCUAUAUGAUGGGAAACUUUGGACUCUUCUCUUCUGGUUCCUUAUACAAUAAAUAAUUCAUUUUUGUAAAUGAUGUUCAUUCAUCCAUCCUGUAGUAUUCUUCCCGUGCAAAUCUCUUUUGUACCCAUUACCCGCUCCCUCCCCUUGUGCCUCUAGUGGCCAAUAUUCAUCGUUUCUGCUUCCACGGGACCAGCUUUCUUAAUUUGCUGCCUUCUUAUGCUAACAGAUUUUUUUCAUGCAUUAAAAAAGUGUCAAAAUUAAUUACAUGUUAUGCAAAGAUGGAUGUAGAACCUGCUCCACAAAGCACAAUGUAUUGUAAAUGAAGGCAGUCUCUGAAGGUCGGCUCACUACUGGGAGUCCAGCUUAAUAGAAUGUGGUCGCCUGAAGGAAAUUCAUGGCUUGAGUGAAGAGGUGUCUGGAAUUCCCAUCUGGGAUUUAUUAGUGUGUGCGUGUUGGUGGCAUAGCCGGAUGUUAGUUCUUAACUUAAGGAAACAAAGUUUUCAACGUGACGAUGGCGACUUUUUGCUCUGUCAAGUGGUAGCAGCUGCCGAUACCUUCCUGGUUCUGGAAACUCCAUCAGCUGAAGUGGAGUGUUGCUCAAUCUGUCGUACUAAAGGGUCUGGAUGCCAAUGGUAGUGGGCUGUGUAGUUGAUGAGGGAGCUAGUUAGGUGCCUCCUUAUGGGGAAGCACAGCCCGUUUGUUGACUCGAACAUCUUCUGGGAAGGUUGCAUGUACCCCCACACUCUGUUUAUGGGGAUGAUAAAGCAAGUACGUCCACUCGGCACACGCUGUAAAACAGAAGGCUUGCAGCUGGCAGAGUUGCGUUCCUCUUGGCUCCUUUUCUGAAGGAAUUUUUGGAAACUUGUUAGAUUUAUGAAUAGUUGCAGAUUACCAGCCUUGGUCUCCAGUGCAAGCGAAUGCUCCUUUAAACUUUGUUUUUUUCUUUGAAGAUAGCAGAUUUGGUUUUUUUUUUGAUGGUUCCAUAAUAUACUUUAUGGGUGGAGGAAAUACAGUUUAUUCUUACAUGUUGUCAUAGCUCAUGUAUAAUUAAAUGUUGAAAUGAUUAUUUUAUUGGUUAUAUAGCCUCUUCAAAGGACCCAACAUGUAUUAUAGGUCUAGAAAGGGAAAUAGGCAAACAGACAUGAGGGAUAAACUUGUAUUUGCAAUAACGUAACUUAGUUAUCUGUCUCAGAGGACAUCUGAUGUCAAGCUUACCAAUAGUAGAAGUUGCUUGGAGAAAUUCACCACUGGCCUCCGUAGGCUUCGUUGAAAAGGAGAGGCCUGAGUCUGGCUUUGAGAGAGGCCAAAAGAGGAUGUAGCUGCAGG